CAGUCGCCGCGGGAAUACGUAGGGCGCAAGCGUUAUCCGGAAUUAUUGGGCGUAAAGAGCUCGUAGGCGGUUUGUCGCGUCUGCCGUGAAAGUCUGGGGCUCAACCCCGGAUCUGCGGUGGGUACGGGCAGACUAGAGUGAUGUAGGGGAGACUGGAAUUCCUGGUGUAGCGGUGAAAUGCGCAGAUAUCAGGAGGAACACCGAUGGCGAAGGCAGGUCUCUGGGCAUUAACUGACGCUGAGGAGCGAAAGCAUGGGGAGCGAACAGGAUUAGAUACCCCAGUAGUCCCUGUCUCUUAUAC
RNAcentral lists this ribosomal RNA (301 nucleotides) under uncultured bacterium. RNAcentral describes it as "partial 16S ribosomal RNA". It matches the Rfam family "Bacterial small subunit ribosomal RNA", at positions 509 to 807 of the family's 1533-position model. The record is from RNAcentral.